This 1095-nucleotide long non-coding RNA is filed under the name Coturnix japonica (Japanese quail). Its description in RNAcentral is "lncRNA (ENSCJPG00005019040.1)". Lineage: Eukaryota; Metazoa; Chordata; Aves; Galliformes; Phasianidae. The record is from RNAcentral.
AUGGCCGAAAGCGGGGCGGGCAGGGCACGCACCUCUCAGCACAGCCCCGGCAUCCUCUUCUUCCUCCCGGGACCGCCGGGGACUCCAGCCGUGUUCCCCAGCGCAGCUUUGCCGGACGGGGCCGCCCCCGCCGCUGCCCGGGUCGGCGGAGCGAGCAGAGCGCCUACCGCGGCGGGACGGGGGCGGGGGAUGCGGGUGCGGACCGCCCCGCCGGGUCGGCGGAGGAGGGACAGAGCGAGGAGGGACAGAGCGAGGAGGAUGGCGCUCGGGGCAGCCGAUUUGGCCUCCGGGAGGGAUCCCCAGGGGGAGGAGGUUCAGCCGGGAUCUCCUCGCACUUUCCGCCGCGACGGACCGCGAGCGGCGUCCGUGCAUCGGCUGCUCCGCCCGGCACAGCCUCGCGCCUCCUGCGGGCACCGCGCAGCAGCGGCACCGCGCUACUCGUUGAGCGCCGCGCACAGCGCAUCCUUGCGGCCGGGACGCCCCCCCGCUCCCCGCAAGUCCCGGCCCUACCUCUCGCCUCGGCUCCCGCCGCUCACGGGCCACUGGGUCACGGCUCCGGCCGUGCGACCGCGCGGGGCGGGAGCAGCGCGGCGCCAUCGGCUCUGGGCCCUGGGGCGGGGGCCGCGUGUCUCAUCGCAUCGGAAUGCGGCGCGCGCCCCUCGCCCCCCGCAGCCCCCGCCCGGCAGCAGCAACAGCAGCAGCAACAGCAGCAGCGCUCGCGGCGCUCUGUUGCUUUUUGCGUUCCCCCCCUCGCCUGCUCGGUGCCGCUGCCCCCUGAGCAGCGCGAGCGGUGCGAGUAAGGGCUGCGUUCGGGGCCGCUUCGGGAGCGGGCGCUGCCCCCGUUCCGUUCCGUUCCGUGCUUCGGGAGCGGGCGCUGCCCCCGUUCCGUUCCGUUCCGUGCCCCGCGGAUCAUUGGGGCGGGGGCUGAUCGGCCGCCAUCCGCACCGAGGAGCAGCGCGGCACGGUCUGCCCCGUCGCGCGUCUGCACGCGUGGGCUGUUCCGCUCGGUGUGAAAAGUGUCAGAAAGUUUCGUUCUGCAGGAAGCAUUCUCACUUAUUUUUUUUUUUCUACGAGACAAAAGGCGUUCUCAGAUAA